UACAUAGGGGGCAAGCGUUAUCCGGAAUUACUGGGUGUAAAGGGUGCGUAGGCGGUCCUGUAAGUCAGAUGUGAAAACCCGAGGCUCAACCUCGGGAAUGCAUUUGAAACUACAGAACUAGAGUACAGGAGAGGUAAGUGGAAUUCCUAGUGUAGCGGUGAAAUGCGUAGAUAUUAGGAAGAACACCAGUGGCGAAGGCGACUUACUGGACUGAAACUGACGCUGAGGCACGAAAGCGUGGGGAGCGAACAGG
This 253-nucleotide ribosomal RNA is filed under the name uncultured bacterium. RNAcentral's name for it is "partial 16S ribosomal RNA". It matches the Rfam family "Bacterial small subunit ribosomal RNA", at positions 524 to 776 of the family's 1533-position model. The record is from RNAcentral.